UGUGACCCCGAUUCGAUCGAGUCUCGCGGUAAACGCGCUUAGAGACAAUCGAGGCCUAUGUUCUCUGACGACCCGAGAGAAUAAAAUUUCAGGACGAAAGGAUUGCGGGAAGAUGCGAGAGGCAGGACUUGCUAUUCGGACAAAGGCUCGCUUCUCACGCUGACCAUAGGCAUCAUCGGCAUCGUGGACAUUCUUUCCUCCGAUCGGGAUCGUAUUUUCGGUCGACCGUAUGACGACAGUGUUCUGCCGAGCCCGGAAUCUAUCAUUCCAUCGAUGAGAAGGCAUCUCAUAGUCGGCCAUGACCACUCGGGUUAGAGUGCUCUUAAUCGCAUCAGUCUCGAACGGUGGCUUGCCCACUAAUAAAGUAUACAACAUGCAUCCCAAGCUCCAUACAUCUGCCUCUGGACCA
Monomorium pharaonis (pharaoh ant) is the source of this 409-nucleotide long non-coding RNA. RefSeq lists it as uncharacterized. The transcript is spliced from 3 exons. The record is from RefSeq and is a predicted model, not a curated record. NCBI's taxonomy places the organism in Eukaryota, Metazoa, Arthropoda, Insecta, Hymenoptera, Formicidae.